This 492-nucleotide ribosomal RNA is filed under the name uncultured bacterium. RNAcentral's name for it is "partial 16S ribosomal RNA". It matches the Rfam family "Bacterial small subunit ribosomal RNA", at positions 29 to 507 of the family's 1533-position model. The record is from RNAcentral.
AGUGAACGCUGGCGGUAGGCCUAACACAUGCAAGUCGAACGGCAGCACAGUAAGAGCUUGCUCUUACGGGUGGCGAGUGGCGGACGGGUGAGGAAUACAUCGGAAUCUACUUUUUCGUGGGGGAUAACGUAGGGAAACUUACGCUAAUACCGCAUACGACCUACGGGUGAAAUCAGGGGAUCUUCGGACCUUGCGCGAUUGAAUGAGCCGAUGUCGGAUUAGCUAGUUGGCGGGGUAAAGGCCCACCAAGGCGACGAUACGUAGCUGGUCUGAGAGGAUGAUCAGCCACACUGGAACUGAGACACGGUCCAGACUCCUACGGGAGGCAGCAGUGGGGAAUAUUGGACAAUGGGCGCAAGCCUGAUCCAGCCAUACCGCGUGGGUGAAGAAGGCCUUCGGGUUGUAAAGCCCUUUUGUUGGGAAAGAAAAGCAGCAGGUUAAUACCCCGCUGUUCUGACGGUACCCAAAGAAUAAGCACCGGCUAACUUCGUG